UGGGGAAUUUUGGACAAUGGGGGAAACCCUGAUCCAGCCAUCCCGCGUGUGCGAUGAAGGCCUUCGGGUUGUAAAGCACUUUUGGCAGGAAAGAAACGUCAUGGGUUAAUACCCCGUGAAACUGACGGUACCUGCAGAAUAAGCACCGGCUAACUACGUGCCAGCAGCCGCGGUAAUACGUAGGGUGCAAGCGUUAAUCGGAAUUACUGGGCGUAAAGCGUGCGCAGGCGGUUCGGAAAGAAAGAUGUGAAAUCCCAGAGCUCAACUUUGGAAAUGCAUUUUUAACUACCGGGCUAGAGUGUGUCAGAGGGAGAUGGAAUUCCGCGUGUAGCAGAGAAAUGCGUAGAUAUGCGGAGGAACACCGAUGGCGAAGGCAGCCUCCUGGGAUAACACUGACGCUCAUGCACGAAAGCGUGGGGAGCAAACAGG
RNAcentral lists this ribosomal RNA (429 nucleotides) under Acidobacteriota bacterium. RNAcentral describes it as "Acidobacteria bacterium partial 16S ribosomal RNA". It matches the Rfam family "Bacterial small subunit ribosomal RNA", at positions 355 to 776 of the family's 1533-position model. Lineage: Bacteria; Pseudomonadati; Acidobacteriota. The record is from RNAcentral.